Molecule: long non-coding RNA, 294 nt
Filed under: Gouania willdenowi (blunt-snouted clingfish)
Lineage: Eukaryota; Metazoa; Chordata; Actinopteri; Blenniiformes; Gobiesocidae
Description: lncRNA (ENSGWIG00000023501.1)
Source: RNAcentral
AUGGAGGACGGGAGCGCCAGCAUCUACCAAUGGAGGAGAAAGACAUUUAUUAAAACAAUAGGAAUGCCAGCAUCCACUGAUGGAGGAAGAGAAGAAAGAUGGAGGACGGGAGCGCCAGCAUCUACCAAUGGACGAGAAGAAAGACAUUUAUUAAAACAAUGUAAGCAAAACCUCUCAUUUACACAGAAAGACACUGAACAAUAUUUUUUUUGUAAAAAUGCUGUCAUUGGUAAAAAAAGAAAUAUAUGUUGCUUUACACUAAUGCUUGUAAAAUGUUCACCACAGUGUCCCUAA